RNAcentral lists this ribosomal RNA (253 nucleotides) under uncultured Bacteroidales bacterium. Its description in RNAcentral is "partial 16S ribosomal RNA". It matches the Rfam family "Bacterial small subunit ribosomal RNA", at positions 524 to 776 of the family's 1533-position model. Lineage: Bacteria; Pseudomonadati; Bacteroidota; Bacteroidia; Bacteroidales. The record is from RNAcentral.
UACGGAGGAUUCAAGCGUUAUCCGGAUUUAUUGGGUUUAAAGGGUGCGUAGGCGGCGCUUCAGGUCAGCGGUGAAAUACCGGGGCUCAACCCCGGGGCUGCCGUUGAAACCGGAGCGCUAGAAUUCCGAUGCCGUCGGAGGAAUGUGUGGUGUAGCGGUGAAAUGCAUAGAUAUCACACAGAACACCGAUUGCGAAGGCAUCUCACGAAUCCGCUAUUGACGCUGAUGCACGAAAGCGUGGGUAUCAAACAGG